UUCAGCUGGUUUGUUUCGUGCUAGUAUUAGUCCGUACAGUCCAGUCUCAUUGGCUGUUGGAUUAGACUAGAUGCGUCUAACCUAGUGCAUUUGCAGGUAGAGUGCGCUGAGACUUGUGGUAUGGUGGUACGAUCCACUGUUGCAGACGGAUCACUUCCUCACGGUUGUGAUACCAGCACUGUGGUGAUUGCUGUCCAGUACUACAUGUGUAGAGUGUGGUUGAGGUUGCUGGGCAUUUGUAGUUGUGUCGGUUGCAGUCGCAUGCGACGCGUAGCCGUUCACUUUGACGACGUGGUUGGUGGUCUUUCAUACUCGUUCUCGGUGUAAAAGUUGGUCAUCUAUCCGACCCGUCUUGAAACACGGACCAAGGAGUUUAGCAAAUGCGCGAGUCAUUGAGUGCUAUCAAAACUCAAAGGCGCAAUGAAAGUGAAUGUAUUGCACAGAUAUGUGAUCGUGUUGCACUACGGUGUGUACGAGCAACAUAGCCCCGUUCUAAUCGCUUGCGAUGGGGCGGAGGUAGAGCGUAUUUGUUGAGACCCGAAAGAUGGUGAACUAUUCCUGAGCAGGAUGAAGCCAGAGGAAACUC
Molecule: ribosomal RNA, 586 nt
Filed under: Neothada hades
Lineage: Eukaryota; Metazoa; Nematoda; Chromadorea; Rhabditida; Tylenchidae
Description: partial large subunit ribosomal RNA
Rfam family: Eukaryotic large subunit ribosomal RNA
Source: RNAcentral